GCCGAGGUAGCUCAGAGGUAGAGCACUGCUCUGAAAAAGCAGGUGUCGACAGUUCGAGUCUGUCCCUCGGCA
Molecule: transfer RNA, 72 nt
Filed under: candidate division WWE3 bacterium CG_4_10_14_0_2_um_filter_42_8
Lineage: Bacteria; candidate division WWE3
Also listed under: 3 other names
Description: tRNA-Phe
Rfam family: tRNA
About the family: Transfer RNA (tRNA) molecules are approximately 80 nucleotides in length.
Source: RNAcentral